UACGAAGGGUGCGAGCGUUAUUCGGAUUUAUUGGGCGUAAAGGGUGCGUAGGUGGUAUGUUAAGUCUGUUGUUAAAUUUUCCGGCCUAACCGGAAGCAUGCAGUGGAAACUGGCGUACUAGAGUGUGGAAGAGGGAAGUGGAAUUCUCGGAGUAGCGGUAAAAUGCGUGGAUCUCGAGAGGAACACCGAUGGCGAAGGCAGCUUCCUGGUCCAUUUCUGACACUGAGGCACGAAAGCGUGGGGAGCAAACAGG
RNAcentral lists this ribosomal RNA (253 nucleotides) under uncultured bacterium. RNAcentral describes it as "partial 16S ribosomal RNA". It matches the Rfam family "Bacterial small subunit ribosomal RNA", at positions 524 to 776 of the family's 1533-position model. The record is from RNAcentral.